Heterocephalus glaber (naked mole-rat) is the source of this 1310-nucleotide long non-coding RNA. RefSeq lists it as uncharacterized. The record is from RefSeq and is a predicted model, not a curated record. Lineage: Eukaryota; Metazoa; Chordata; Mammalia; Rodentia; Bathyergidae.
GACCUCUAAAAGCUUGUGUGCCAGCUAAAAUCUCUAAUUAGCCCUCAUCUAACAUAGGCACUGCUACACGGUUGGUUUGAGGAAAACUGUUCUUAUGACGUUGGGGCUGAGGUGCGUCAGCCGGAAUAACUGCAAAUCUUGAGAGGGGAGCUUGACAGGCUGGCUUUCUGAAGUUGCUGAAAUUGUAGAAAGUCAAAGAUUUAUCCUUCCAAUACCCGUUACCGUGCUGGUUUUGGGAACGACUUUAGGAGCCUUUAGGGCUCUGAACCUUAAUCUCCGCAUCUGCAAAACGGAUUAGGCGCCUGCAAUUCUGAGGGCGCAGGAACACAGGGUUCGCACUCGCAGGACCCCCCCGCCCCUCCGGCGUGUGCGCAGUCAUCCAGUCAGGGCCGGGCCGAAGCGGAGCCUGGACCCGGGCAGUUAGUUCGCAGGAAGUGCUGUAGGGUAGGGAGGGGAGACUGAGGGCGGAGGCGGGAAUGUGAAAGCCGAGCCCUAGCAGCGGAGUUCACAUGAAGCUCCGGAGAGGCGGGGCGAAACUAGGGUGAAGGGGUUAGGCAGUGGACGGGCUAGACCCGCCACCUCCCCCGAAGAGAGAGCGCUGGGUGCGGGGGACGCUCUGAAGAACUUGUUUUUGCACGGAAUGCAAUAAUUUAAGGCUCGGAAUUUAUGUUGGCUGCUCUGAUAUUCCUUGCUGAAAACCUACCUUCUUACAUAUGUUACUUCCAACAAAAAGCUGAUACCUUACGUGCUGUUGAUCUCAGAAAAGAAAUACAUGUGGGAAAAGAAGCGAAUUUCUCAUUGCCAUUGAAGUGUCGUGACCACCUGUCGUGGGAUUUGCCUGCCAUCUGCUGUCCGAGUGAGGAACAACAGCAGAGAAGUGGGAGGAAGGAGGAUUUCCUAGGAAUAGAACCCAGGGCCUCACGCAUAUUAGUCCCUCCACACCCUCUGAGGAUGGUUUGCAGAUGAAGGAAAGUGGGUUUAGAGAGGCCAAGCGACUUGCCCAGGUAUGCGCUGCUGGUGAUGGCUCGUCUCCCGAUGUGACAGCACUUGGGCCUUCUCAUUGAGCCCCCUGCUUAGUCCUCAAGUGAUGAGGAUUCCUAGAUGAAACCACUUCUCUCCAGCCUCUGGAUGUUGUCUCCUGGUCCCCAAAACGGGAAGAGAGAGAGGACACAAGAACUAAAGGAUUGGAGUCUGCGCUCUGGAAGGAAGGAGGGGCUGAGCCAACACACGUCAGACACUCACUUCCUUCAAGCCCUGAGCUAUUGCAUCACUGUAUUUUACCUGCACCAACAAGCAUGCUUUACUAUUCA